Chiloscyllium plagiosum (whitespotted bambooshark) is the source of this 445-nucleotide non-coding RNA. NCBI's taxonomy places the organism in Eukaryota, Metazoa, Chordata, Chondrichthyes, Orectolobiformes, Hemiscylliidae. The record is from RefSeq and is a predicted model, not a curated record.
CCGGUUUCAACACUAAGUAAUCUAAUCUAAUCAUCAAUCUUAUAAACUCUGUCUUCCUUAUAAAGAAUUACAAUUUCUUUCCUCCUAGUAUCCACCCUGAAUCCUCGCCAAAAACAGCCGAUAAACAACUGCAGUUCCAUGGGCACAAUCUUCCCUAAAAAAAGCACACAUCUGCAGAAAUUCCUCAAUUUUGAUUACAAUGGAGAGGAAAUAAGAAGAUCCGGGUGACCCUCAGAUUGCUUUCAUAUAUCUCUUAGAGACUGACACAACAUUGCAGUGGUGGAAACCUGGAAGUUUAUGUUGCGCCUGUGACAAGGUCAAGGCGGAGUUGUGAAGAGGAGAACUGUGACAACAUAUGAAAAUCUCCAUGGGAAUUAGAACAAAAUCUAACCUUCAAUGAGUGUAUGGAUCACUUCUUUAUGGCCCAUCUCACAAGCCCGGAAAA